ACCGUGGUAUUCUAGAGCUAAUACAUGCUAAAAACCCCGACUUCGGAAGGGGUGUAUUUAUUAGAUAAAAAACCAAUGCCCUUUGGGCUCCUUGGUGAUUCAUAAUAACUUAACGAAUCGCAUGGCCUUGCGCCGGCGAUGGUUCAUUCAAAUUUCUGCCCUAUCAACUUUCGAUUGUAAGAUAGAGGCUUACAAUGGUCUUAACGGGUAACGGGGAAUUAGGGUUCUAUUCCGGAGAGGGAGCCUGAGAAACGGCUACCACAUCCAAGGAAGGCAGCAGGCGCGCAAAUUACCCAAUGCUAAUUCAGCGAGGUAGUGACAAUAAAUACUGAUACGGGGCUCUUUCGGGUCUCGUAAUUGGAAUGAGUACAAUCUAAAUCCCUUAACGAGGAACAAUUGGAGGGCAAGUCUGGUGCCAGCAGCCGCGGUAAUUCCAGCUCCAAUAGCGUAUAUUAAAGUUGUUGCCGUUAAAAAGCUCGUAGUUGAACCUUGGACCUGGCUGAUCUGUCCUCCUAAUCGAGCGCACGGAUUCGGUCGGGUCUUUCCUUCUGGGGAGCCCUAUGCCCUUCACUGGGUGUAGUGGGGAACCAGGACUUUUACCUUGAAAAAAUUAGAGUGUUCAAAGCAGGCCUUUGCUCGAAUACAUUAGCAUGGAAUAAUAGAAUAGGACAUCGGUUCUAUUUUGUUGGUUUCUAGGACCGCUGUAAUGAUUAAUAGGGAUAGUCGGGGGCGUCAGUAUUCAAUUGUCAGAGGUGAAAUUCUUGGAUUUAUUGAAGACUAACUACUGCGAAAGCAUUCGCCAAGGAUGUUUUCAUUAAUCAGUGAACGAAAGUUAGGGGAUCGAAGACGAUCAGAUACCGUCGUAGUCUUAACCAUAAACUAUGCCGACUAAGGAUCGGACGGUGGUUUUUUUAUGCCCCGUUCGGCACUUUACGAGAAAUCAAAGUUUUUGGGCUCGGGGGGGAGUAUGGUCGCAAGGCUGAAACUUAAAGAAAUUGACGGAGGGGCACCACCAGGCGUGGAGCCUGCGGCUUAAUUUGACUCAACACGGGGAAACUCACCAGGUCCAGACAUGCUUAGGAUUGACAGAUUGAUAGCUCUUUCUUGAUUGUAUGGGUGGUGGUGCAUGGCCGUUCUUAGUUGGUGGAGUGAUUUGUCUGCUUAAUU
RNAcentral lists this ribosomal RNA (1167 nucleotides) under uncultured fungal contaminant. Its description in RNAcentral is "SSU rRNA". It matches the Rfam family "Eukaryotic small subunit ribosomal RNA", at positions 146 to 1324 of the family's 1831-position model. The record is from RNAcentral. Lineage: Eukaryota; Fungi.